UACGUAGGGCGCAAGCGUUGUCCGGAAUUAUUGGGCGUAAAGAGCUCGUAGGCGGUUUGUCGCGUCUGCUGUGAAAACGCGAGGCUUAACCUCGCGCCUGCAGUGGGUACGGGCAGACUAGAGUGCGGUAGGGGAGACUGGAAUUCCUGGUGUAGCGGUGGAAUGCGCAGAUAUCAGGAGGAACACCGGUGGCGAAGGCGGGUCUCUGGGCCGAUACUGACGCUGAGAAGCGAAAGCGUGGGGAGCGAACAGG
Molecule: ribosomal RNA, 253 nt
Filed under: uncultured bacterium
Lineage: Bacteria
Description: partial 16S ribosomal RNA
Rfam family: Bacterial small subunit ribosomal RNA
Source: RNAcentral